AAUCUUAGAUUCAUCGACGAACAUAACUCUGUGAACCGGACUUACAAGGUUGGUUUGAACCAGUUUGCCGAUCUGACCAACGAGGAGUACCGGGCGAGGUUCUUGGGUACGAGGAUGGAGAGGAAGAAUAGAUUGGGUGCGGGCAGGAGUCAGAGGUAUUUGUUCAAUAAAGGAGAUGAUUUGCCGAAGAAGGUUGACUGGAGAGAGAAAGGAGCUGUUGUCCCUGUCAAGGAUCAAGGCCAGUGUGGGAGUUGCUGGGCUUUCUCGACUAUUGGUGCAGUGGAAGGGAUAAACCAGAUUGUAACUGGUGAUCUAAUCUCUCUGUCAGAGCAGGAGUUAGUGGACUGUGACACAUCUUAUAACCAGGGAUGCAAUGGAGGUCUCAUGGACUAUGCCUUUGAAUUUAUUAUCAAGAAUGGUGGAAUUGAUACAGAAGAAGAUUACCCUUA
This 449-nucleotide unclassified non-coding RNA is filed under the name Hevea brasiliensis (rubber tree). The record is from RNAcentral. Lineage: Eukaryota; Viridiplantae; Streptophyta; Magnoliopsida; Malpighiales; Euphorbiaceae.